CCUUCGAUAGCUCAGUUGGUAGAGCGGAGGACUGUAGGUGGAUCUUCUGGUCAUCCUUAGGUCGCUGGUUCGAAUCCGGCUCGAAGGA
This 88-nucleotide transfer RNA is filed under the name Mesocricetus auratus (golden hamster). It matches the Rfam family "tRNA". From Rfam's summary of the family: Transfer RNA (tRNA) molecules are approximately 80 nucleotides in length. Their secondary structure includes four short double-helical elements and three loops (D, anti-codon, and T loops). The record is from Rfam by way of RNAcentral. Lineage: Eukaryota; Metazoa; Chordata; Mammalia; Rodentia; Cricetidae.